Molecule: long non-coding RNA, 6006 nt
Organism: Cyprinus carpio carpio
Lineage: Eukaryota; Metazoa; Chordata; Actinopteri; Cypriniformes; Cyprinidae
Source: Ensembl
UUUUAAUUAUAUUUCAGUUUGUUUAUUUAGUAUAUAAUCAACAAGUUAAGUUUCUUAUGGUUUUAGUUUUAGUUUAGUUUUAAUCAUUUUGGCCUUAACCUCUCCAUCCAUCAAAAAAGAAUCCAGAAACAUUUUUCCAAUCUAUCUGCGUUUUCUUUGGUUAUGAGAUGAUUACAGGGAACAAGAGCAAUCUUUAAGUAAUUUAAGGUCAGAUUUACCACAGAAAACACUUGAUGAAGCGUCUUGGCAAAGUAUUUCAGAUAAUUACACCUAAUCUCUAUUCAGAUUUCCCCAAAAAUAUUUCAAAUCUGAAUCAGACAGGAACUCCUGAAUCCAUUAUAUCCCUAUAAGACUUGCAUCAGAAACUUCAUGUCAGAGCAGAAAUGCCUGGGGUUAACAGGCUGUAAUUUAAUAUCUUUGUGGUUUUUAUUUUCCAUUAGAUGGCGAGUUUUCCGGAAAGGGGUUUCCAGGCUGGAAAAUGUAAUGGUACGUUCGUUUAACACACACAUCAGUCCUGCUGUUUACACAUGACACAUGCAUUCUCUAAAGCCUAUAGGUUUAAAUGAAACAUAUAUUUACUUGCACAUAAAUAUUUCCAUGUAUGACUUUCAACACAAAAGGCAUAAAACAUUUUAUAUUGAACACAACUGUCAAUAAAACAUAAAAGCAUGACUUGUGCACUAUAUUUAUGAUGCUUUGUGACUGUUAUCUUCCCCUCAGAUCUCAUUCGUGAUGCUGCAUAUUUUAAUUCAACACAUGAAAAUCAAGUUCAGUGUGAUGUAAUUUUUAAAGCAGCGAAUGAGAUUCCAAAGCUUCGGUGGAGGGGAAGAUUUUCAGUCAAUAAUGCAUUGAUAGCAGCACACAGCUUUGAUGGAGCAUGAUGAUGACAGCCAUAUCACAGUCUGCUCAAUGAACUGUCUGUUAAAAUGAUGUCAGAAGUGACAGUUUGUACUGCUGAGAGUUUCUCAACAGCCAGAGAGCAGGACCGGACCUGUUCAGCUCAAUAGACACGAGAGGAGCUGAACACUUUAGAGGACAAUGAGCAUUUAAGGUCUGUUUGAAAAACACAAAUAACCUGCAGUCAUAUGCAGUACAGUCUGUCCUGAAUUACAUAACCAAACACCUCACGAGUCACGGUAACACUUGACAAUAUGAUUGAAUAUGUUAGCGUUAGAUACAGCAAGCUGACAUUUGAGUUUGCAUUUAAAUGUUUUCUUAAUGUUAAUUCAUUCAUGCAUUAUGAGCGAUCAUGGGCUAACAAUGGACAAUAGUGCAUUUAUGAAUUAACUUCAAAAAAUAGUUGACCCACAAAUGAAAAUUUGCUGAAAAUGCCCUCACCCUCAGGCCAUCCAAGAUUAGAAUGAGUUUGUUUCUUUAUCAGAUUUGGAGAAAUGUAGCAUUGCAACAGUAUCUCAGCAAUGGAUGCUCUACAGUGAAUGGGUGCCGUCAGAAUGAGAGUCCAAACAGCUGAUAAAAACAUCACAAUAAUCCACAAGUAAUCCACAGCACUCCAAUCCAACAGUUAACAUCUGGAGAAGUCUAUAAUCAACCUGAGGGUGAGCACAUUUUUAUUUUUGGGUGAACUAUUCCUUUAGUAAAUGCAUUAAAAACAUUGAUAAUUCAUGAUACCCAAUGCAUUAGUUAGGCAUUAGCUAAACUGAAGUUACUGAAAAAACUUUUUAAAAGUUUGCUUAAAUCUGACAAAUAUCAUUAAAUAAUAAUAAUAAUUAGAAUAAAUAGAAACAUAAGUGGGCCUUAUAGCAAAGCCAAGAAAACAGCAUUAAGAAAAUAAAUGAAUUAAAAACUAAAAAUAAACAAUCAGCCAUCAAAACAAACUCACUUGCCAUAACAAAAGCACGUUUUGUACAAAUGUGAAGUUUAUUCUUUUUAAAGAAGUGAAUAAUAUAUAAACUAUUGUCUAUAAAUAUAAAGGGCUUUUAAUAGUAUCACAAGCAGAAGUAUGAGAAAGAAGAAAAUAACAUUUUCUACCGGUGUAGAAAACCGUAAUACAGGCUUCAAUGCUAGUGUGAUUAAAUACAUCUCAGAUCCAUGCAAACGCAUCUCACAAGAACAGGAGUUUAAGAGCAGGCCUCUAUCUACCAGUGCUUUCUGUAAUCACCCUAAACAGAGAUUCCUUUGGGGAAACAAAAACAUUCAUUUGCAUGAGAUAAUCGCCAUAAACAAUCAAGAAUCAACAUUAUCUGAUGUUCAGUAAAGGGCAUCUUUUAAAAAAGCACAUGAUGACAUAACAAACCCUGAAGAAUUAUGAACAGGAUUAUGGGGAUUACUCUUAUGUAGUGCUUGAGCGAUGAGGGGGUUUUAUUAGCUGAUGUUGAUACCAAUAACCACAGUGCAGACCGAUAUACAACCGAUACAACCUAAAAAUCAGUUAAAAUGUCUGAAAACAAAUAGCAUUUUCCAUGCUGGUAGAUUUUGAAAAUGAUACUCAGGACAAGCCGACAUGAUUAUCGCUGCUGACCAUUUCAAAAGCGCCAAAUAUCGGCCGAUAUAUCGGUUUACCGUUACACAUAUGCAUCAGAAAGUCUACAUCUCAAUUUUCAAAUCACGUUCAUGGAUUAGUUUAUAUACCAACACAGGCAUUAAACUAUUUGAGUGAUUUGGGGUUUUUAAUAACUUAUGUUGAUACCGAUAACCGAGCACAAACCGAUAUUACUUAAAAAUUAGUGCUGUCAAAUGACUACUUGCGAUUAAUUGCAUCCAAAAUUGAGGUUUUUGUUUACAUAAUAUAUGUGUGUGUACUGUCAAAAACUUAUUUUGGAUGUGAUUAAUCACAAUUAAUUGUUUGACAGCACUAUUAAAAAUCAAUAAAAUUAUCUGAAAAUCCAAUUGCAUUAUUGAUCAAGAGGCCUGCUGGUAGAUUUUGGAAAUGAUACACAGGACAAGCAGAUGUGAUUAUCGCUGCUGAUCAUCUCAAAUCGGCCAAAUAUCGGCCGAUAUAUCGGUUUACCUCUACACAUAUGCAUCAGAAAGUCUACAUCCCCGUUUUCACAUCAUGGAUUAGUUACGAUACCAACACAGACAUUACAUUAUUUUAGAAGUGGAUUGCAAACACCGUCCAUCCUGUUCUAGCUGUAUGUUUAGAGGUACUUCUGUGCAAAAGAGCCAAAGGAGAACACAAACCCUUCAGAAACAUCACCAAAGUUCAUUACAGACUGAAGAAAAACAUGUAUACAUUUCUUUGAGUUAAACACAACUGCAGGCUUGACCCCAAUGCUGCUCUGAACUGAAAAAGGCACUUUACUUUACAUCUUAAAAAACAUCUUAAAACAGCCUGAGAUUGCUGCCGUCCAAGCCCAGGACAGGCCAGGAGACCAGCAAACCAGUUUAGGCUGGGUUAAGCACAUAUCAACCAUGUUGUUCUAGCUCCGAGUCUCAGCCUCCAUAAAACACUCCAGUCCUAUAAUUCAUCUGAUCUCACUCCUAAAGCUUUAAUUUAAAGCUCAAUUCUCCCCAUGAUAUGCAGCCUUAAGUGCUGGGUGCACAAUUCACACACAUUAUUAUUGUUAUUUCUGCAUUAUUUGCAUGUAAAAAGUUUGAAUAUUUGCCCGUGGAAAUACUGAUGUCGAUAAAAAGACACAGUUUUACAUAGAGGCAUAAAAAACAGAUCCCCACCCAGAAUAAUCCAAGAGAAAAGGCAUAAAUAAUCUCCAAAACGAUAUGGUUUGUCCCCAAAAAAAAAAAAAAAAAACGUUCAUUUGAUUAAACAAAGAACAUCCAAGUGAGAUUUAAAUACAAAUAUAUACUUAAAAAAAGUCACAAUGUUUAUGUACAACGCGAAGGGCGUCCUUUAAACAGUUGUUUUCUCCAUCGGAAAAAGUGAAUAAUAAAAAAGUUGUUAAAUCACACUGUUGUUUCUCCUUGUUUGCUGUUCGCCAGUCUCGUGUAGAACUUCCUCCACGAGUUAAGCGUCUUUCCAGACCAUAUCCAGAAUCCAGACGUGAUGCCCACGAUCAGGGUCAUCAGAUACUUGAUCAUGAACACUGUGAAAUCCGGGUUCAUCUGCGGGUUGUGCACGGGGCACGGCACCGCGUACGUCUUGCACGAUUGCGCGCUCCACGUCUGUUCCCACUGAUCCCGAAAGGCCUGUUCGUAGAAAUAACACGCGAUCACGAUGGUGGCUGGAACUGUGUAGAGGACGCUGAAGAUGCCUAUGCGCACCAUCAGCUUCUCCAGCUUCUCCGUUUUGGUGCCGUCGUGCUUCAUAAUGGUCCUGAUGCGGAACAGAGACACGAAGCCCGCCAGGAGGAACGAAGUACCGAUGAACAGAUAGACGAAGAGAGGCGCCAGGACGAAUCCGCGCAGCGCGUCAACGCUGUUGAUGCCCACAUAGCAGACGCCGCUGAGCACAUCUCCAUCCACUUGACCCACGGCGAGGAUGGUGAUGGUCUUGAUGGCUGGCACUGCCCACGCUGCUAAAUGGAAAUACUGCGAAUUCGCUUCAAUGGCCUCGUGACCCCAUUUCAUCCCGGCCGCGAGGAACCAAGUGAGCGCUAGAAUGACCCACCAGAUGGAGCUGGCCAUGCUGAAGAAGUACAACAUCAUGAACAGAAUGGUGCAACCUUCCUUUUUGGUGCCUUGCACCACUGUCCUGAACUCAUUAUCGAACUGCUCAUUGCAAACCACUUUGUCCUCCAGCAGAAAUCCGGCGAUGUAAGCGAUGGACACCAUCGUAUAACACCCGGAAAGGAAUAUAAUGGGUCUUUCCGGGUAACUAAAGCGCUUCAUGUCCACUAAAUAAGUCAGGACGGUGAAUAAAGUUGACGCGCAACACAAAAUCGACCAAAUCCCGAUCCAAAUGCGCGCAAACUUCUGCUCGUCCUCGCUGAAGUACAUCAUCCCGUAGAGUUUCUUGGGUUCGCACGGCGCGCCGCAGUUUUCCUCGCCCAUAAAGCGGUAGUUCAGAUACGGCGGGACUUUAAGCGAAGUUGGGCAUCUAAAACGCCCCUUCCUGGGAUGCUCGGGUGUAGCUUGGGUCACAUCUGGAGUCGGGUUGACCGGUGCGCUCCGCUCAGACGUGUUCUGCCCCACGCAAAGCUCUCCGCCGUGAACCGGGAACGACUCGCAGGCGAGACUCUCCGGCCACUGGAAACCGAAUUUAUUCAUAAGCGCCUCGCAGCCUUGGCGCGCGCGCUCGCACAGCGAACGGCACGGCGGCAGCGCCUGCUCCAGCACCGUGCAAACCGGCGCGUACAUGGAGCACAGGAAGAACUUAAGGUCCGGCGAGCACUGCACUUUAACGAGCGGGUAGAACUGGUGCACCUCCAGCCCCGCGUCCUCCUGGUUCGUGUGGCCGAGGAGGUUGGGCAUGAUGGUCUCGUUGUACGCGAUGUCCGUGCACAGAGGGAUGGUGAUGGGCUGGCAGAAGCCGUGCUCCGGAAUCGACAUGCCGCGGUCUCCGUACUGCGCGCUCGCUUCCAGUAUUCCAAAGGCGAGCAGGAAGAGCGCAGACGCACCGUGCGCGGCCAUAAUUUCCUUCUGCGGUCUGUCUCCUCACAGCCAGCUCGCCAGCCAGCGCUAGUCUUCCCCUCCAACUCCCUUUGUCGAUUUAUCCUGUCAAAUCAGUGCACGGAAACUUUUGGGAAAGUGCAGCGGCGCACAGGACGCGGAUCGCGGAACGCGUGAAGAAAACCACACAAGCGUCUGCGAGGCGAAUGAAGAGUCGCGCUGUGUCUUGUCAGAGUUUCUGUGAGCUGUUCAAACCUGUUUCCAGGCGCCCUGCUGUCUGCUGUUCAUAAGCGAAACGCGGGCGGGGCGUUACGGACAGAUGGCUCGCGUUAGGGAGCGUCGGGAUUUCGUUCUCCUGCAGUUCGUUUAACGUUCGCGCUUCGAGUUUAUAGAGCUGUUGAGCGGAACACAUUAUCUCUGCUGACUUUAGAGAUCAGAACAAUAAGUAAAAGACACGAUACUAGGUGUCAGGAUUUGUUUUGCGUUCUUUAAACGUUCGUUCUUAGACUUAAUAGUGUUGUUGAAUGGGACUCAUUCUAU